AACAAGGCGUACCUGCGGACCUGCGGAGGGAUCAUUACCGAAGUACAGGCCCUCUUGUAGGGCUAAACUUCCACCCUUUGUUUACUAUUCUUUGUUGCUUUGGCGAGACGUCCUCGGACCACCGGCUCUCGGGCUGGUGCGCGCUCGCCAGAGGAAAAUCAAACCCAAACCACUUUUAGUGUCGUCUGAUAAACAAGUUUAAUUAUUAAAACUUUUAGCAACGGAUCUCAGAUCGGAAGA
RNAcentral lists this unclassified non-coding RNA (240 nucleotides) under soil metagenome. Its description in RNAcentral is "partial contains 5.8S ribosomal RNA, internal transcribed spacer 2, and large subunit ribosomal RNA". The record is from RNAcentral.